This 790-nucleotide ribosomal RNA is filed under the name uncultured Bacillota bacterium. RNAcentral describes it as "bacterial SSU rRNA". It matches the Rfam family "Bacterial small subunit ribosomal RNA", at positions 150 to 916 of the family's 1533-position model. Lineage: Bacteria; Bacillati; Bacillota. The record is from RNAcentral.
UUCGAAAGGGGUGCUAAUACCGAAUGAAUGUAAGAGUAUCGCAUGAGACACUUACUAAAGGAGGCCUCUGAAAAUGCUUCCGCUUGAAGAUGAGCUUGCGUCUGAUUAGCUAGUUGGUGAGGGUAAAGGCCCACCAAGGCGACGAUCAGUAGCCGGUCUGAGAGGAUGAACGGCCACAUUGGGACUGAGACACGGCCCAGACUCCUACGGGAGGCAGCAGUGGGGAAUCUUCCGCAAUGGGCGAAAGCCUGACGGAGCAACGCCGCGUGAACGAUGAAGGUCUUAGGAUCGUAAAGUUCUGUUGUUAGGGACGAAGGGUAAGGAUCAUAAUAAGGUUUUUAUUUGACGGUACCUAACGAGGAAGCCACGGCUAACUACGUGCCAGCAGCCGCGGUAAUACGUAGGCGGCAAGCGUUGUCCGGAAUUAUUGGGCGUAAAGGGAGCGCAGGCGGGAAACUAAGCGGAUCUUAAAAGUGCGGGGCUCAACCCCGUGAUGGGGUCCGAACUGGUUUUCUUGAGUGCAGGAGAGGAAAGCGGAAUUCCCAGUGUAGCGGUGAAAUGCGUAGAUAUUGGGAAGAACACCAGUGGCGAAGGCGGCUUUCUGGACUGUAACUGACGCUGAGGCUCGAAAGCUAGGGUAGCGAACGGGAUUAGAUACCCCGGUAGUCCUAGCCGUAAACGAUGGAUACUAGGUGUGGGAGGUAUCGACUCCUUCCGUGCCGGAGUUAACGCAAUAAGUAUCCCGCCUGGGGAGUACGGCCGCAAGGUUGCAACUCAAAGGAAUUGACGG